GGUCUCAUUGCUCAUUUAGCUGGAGCGUUAGCUGUAUUAAGCCUUCCAUCUGCUGGCGUGGGUUCGAAUCCCACUGAAACCA
RNAcentral lists this transfer RNA (82 nucleotides) under Schistocephalus solidus. It matches the Rfam family "tRNA". From Rfam's summary of the family: Transfer RNA (tRNA) molecules are approximately 80 nucleotides in length. Their secondary structure includes four short double-helical elements and three loops (D, anti-codon, and T loops). The record is from Rfam by way of RNAcentral. Lineage: Eukaryota; Metazoa; Platyhelminthes; Cestoda; Diphyllobothriidea; Diphyllobothriidae.